GACGAACGCUGGCGGCGUGCUUAACACAUGCAAGUCGAACGAAGUGGCGAACGGGUGAGUAACGCGUAAUCAACCUGCCCUUCAGAGGGGGACAACAGUUGGAAACGACUGCUAAUACCGCAUACUGAAGGAGGGGAUUGCGUCGGAUUGGCUAGUUGGAGGGGUAACGGCCCACCAAGGCGAUGAUCAGUAGCCGGUUGGCGCGUAUGAACGGCCACAUUGGGACUUGGGCACGGCCCAGGAUCCUACGGGAGGCAGCAGGGGGGAAUCUUCCGCAAUGGACGAAAGUCUGACGGAGCAACGCCGCGUGGGUGAUGACGGCCUUCGGGUUGUAAAGCUCUGUUAAGCGGGACGCGGUACCGGAAUAGAAAGCCACGGCUAACUACGUGCCAGCAGACGCGGUAAUUC
RNAcentral lists this ribosomal RNA (408 nucleotides) under uncultured bacterium. RNAcentral's name for it is "partial 16S ribosomal RNA". It matches the Rfam family "Bacterial small subunit ribosomal RNA", at positions 28 to 526 of the family's 1533-position model. The record is from RNAcentral.